This 482-nucleotide ribosomal RNA is filed under the name uncultured bacterium. RNAcentral's name for it is "partial 16S ribosomal RNA". It matches the Rfam family "Bacterial small subunit ribosomal RNA", at positions 30 to 507 of the family's 1533-position model. The record is from RNAcentral.
AUUGAACGCUGGCGGCAUGCCUUACACAUGCAAGUCGAACGGUAACGAGCCUUCGGGUGCCGACGAGUGGCGAACGGGUGAGUAAUACAUCGGAACGUGCCCGAUCGUGGGGGAUAACGAGGCGAAAGCUUUGCUAAUACCGCAUACGAUCUACGGAUGAAAGCAGGGGACCGCAAGGCCUUGCGCGGACGGAGCGGCCGAUGGCAGAUUAGGUAGUUGGUGGGAUAAAAGCUUACCAAGCCGACGAUCUGUAGCUGGUCUGAGAGGAUGAUCAGCCACACUGGGACUGAGACACGGCCCAGACUCCUACGGGAGGCAGCAGUGGGGAAUUUUGGACAAAGGGCGCAAGCCUGAUCCAGCCAUGCCGCGUGCAGGAUGAAGGCCUUCGGGUUGUAAACUGCUUUUGUACGGAACGAAAAGCCUUCUUUUAAUACAGGAGGGUCAUGACGGUACCGUAAGAAUAAGCACCGGCUAACUACGUG